Molecule: ribosomal RNA, 424 nt
Filed under: Verrucomicrobiota bacterium
Lineage: Bacteria; Pseudomonadati; Verrucomicrobiota
Description: Verrucomicrobia bacterium partial 16S ribosomal RNA
Rfam family: Bacterial small subunit ribosomal RNA
Source: RNAcentral
UGAGGAAUAUUGGUCAAUGGGCGAGAGCCUGAACCAGCCAAGUAGCGUGCAGGAUGACGGCCCUAUGGGUUGUAAACUGCUUUUAUGUGGGGAUAAAGUGCGUGACGUGUCAUGCAUUGCAGGUACCACAUGAAUAAGGACCGGCUAAUUCCGUGCCAGCAGCCGCGGUAAUACGGAAGGUCCGGGCGUUAUCCGGAUUUAUUGGGUUUAAAGGGAGCGUAGGCUGUCUAUUAAGCGUGUUGUGAAAUUUACCGGCUCAACCGGUGGCUUGCAGCGCGAACUGGUCGACUUGAGUAUGCAGGAAGUAGGCGGAAUUCAUGGUGUAGCGGUGAAAUGCUUAGAUAUCAUGACGAAAUCCGAUUGCGCAGGCAGCUUACUGUAGCAUAACUGACGCUGAUGCUCGAAAGUGCGGGUAUCAAACAGG